Molecule: ribosomal RNA, 252 nt
Filed under: uncultured bacterium
Lineage: Bacteria
Description: partial 16S ribosomal RNA
Rfam family: Bacterial small subunit ribosomal RNA
Source: RNAcentral
UACGUAGGGGGCUAGCGUUGUCCGGAAUCAUUGGGCGUAAAGCGCGUGUAGGCGGUCCGGUAAGUCCGCUGUGAAAGUCGGGGGCUCAACCCUCGGAUGCCGGUGGAUACUGUCGGGCUUGAGUACGGAAGAGGCGAGUGGAAUCCUGGUGUAGCGGUGAAAUGCGCAGAUAUCAGGAGGAACACCAAUUGCGAAGGCAGCUCGCUGGGACGUUACUGACGCUGAGACGCGAAAGCGUGGGGAGCGAACGGG